This is an RNA transcript of Anthonomus grandis grandis, 5052 nucleotides long. RefSeq lists it as uncharacterized. The record is from RefSeq and is a predicted model, not a curated record. NCBI's taxonomy places the organism in Eukaryota, Metazoa, Arthropoda, Insecta, Coleoptera, Curculionidae. The transcript is spliced from 2 exons.
AGAAACAUGGCUGCAGGGCGGCACAAGUGAUAGCCUGAUUAGCAUAGAUGGAUAUAAUAUACAUACCGCGGAGACUGUCAAAAUCAAAAAGGGGGAGGUGUAUGUAUUCUGGCCAAGGAAAAAAUUAAUAGCUUUAAAAUAAAUUGCAUUUUCUCAGAUAUUCACAAAUUCCAAACACCAAUUGAUGCAGUAUGGCUGGAUGUCCAGAUAUGUGAAGUGAAUUUGUCUGUUGCUUAUUUAUACAGACCGGGAACAACCACUAGCGAAGAGGUCAAUACCCACAUGAUAGAUACUAUAAAAAAGGGCAUACACAUCAUCAAAAUGUCCAACAAUUGUUGUGGGAGACUUCAACUACCCCAACAUUAACUGGAAAAGCCUCUCAAUUGCACCACCAGACAAAAAGACGCAGGAUUUUAUCAACAUGUAUCAAGAAAGAGCCCAGCAGUUGAUUGAUUUCCCAACAAGAUACAGAAAAGACCAAAGUUCCCUUUUGGACCUCUUCAAAACCAACGAUCCUAAAAGCAUCUUUGAUCUUUGCUCAGAACCGCCCAUUGGCCGCAGCGACCAUGUCGUAAUAAAAGCAAAAACACAACUAAAAAUUCCACCCAAACAAACACAAGCAAUUGUAAGAAGGAACUUUUACACUGCAAACUAUGAAGAAAUCAACCACUUCAUUCAACUACAACCAGCGCAUGCGAACAAAUCAAUCUUCGAAAACUUUCAAAAUGUUGUGAAUGGUGCUAUCGAACAAUACAUUCCUACCGGACGUGUGAAAACAAACCCCCAAAAACCAUGGAUAAAUGAAAAUAUUUUCAAAGAAAUUAACAAAAAACGGAAACUAUGGGAAAAGUAUAUAACAAACAAAACUCAGGACAAAUAUCAAGCCUAUAUGUGCCAAAAUAAUAUUACCAAACAUAAGUUGGUCGACGCCAGAAAGAAAUAUGAAAAUGGUCUUGCAAACUCGGUCUCGCCAAAUAAACUAUUUAAAUAUGUAAAUCGCAACUUAAACUCGAAAAUCUCAACCAUAACCCUAAAAGAUACAGCAACCCAGCAGUUUCUAGACAGCAAAUCCAUGGCGGAAACAUUCGCAGAACAGUUUGAUACAGCAUUCACGAAGGAUUCAUAUCCAAUUCCAUUAUUGCCUAAUCACAGCAGGGUGCAACCCUCAAUUGUAACUAUUCAUUUUACAAAAGAGAAAGUCGAAGAAGCGCUUAAAAAUAUGAAAAGGGACCCAAGCCCAGGACCAGGUAAAAUCCCAACAGUUUUCCUUCAAAAUUGCAGAAAUUCCCUCAGUCCCUUGCUUUCGGGGACAAUGCAGGAAUGCUUAGAACAAGGAAAGAUACCAGAAGAAUGGAAACAUUCAAAACGGAACAAACCGGAAAACUACAGACCUAUCAGCCUCACAUGCAACCCACUGAAAUGUAUGGAGAAAGUAAUAGUUAAGGAGCUCAUAGCAUUCUUUCUGGAGAAUGGUUUGAUACCUGCCUCUCAGCAUGGAUUUUUGCCUAAACGUUCAACAACAACAAACCUUUUAGAGUGUAGAGACGACAAUGGCCAGCCAACAGACAUAAUAUAUCUUGACUAUGAAAAGGCAUUUGAUAAGCUCUUAAUGGCAAAGCUGGAGCAUUUUGGAGUCAGAGGAAAGCUGCUUGAUCUGAUCAAGGCAUUACUGAAUGAGAGAUUCUACCAGGUUAUAGUCAAUGGGGAGCUGUCCAGUUCACAUUGAGUGAGCAGCGGCGUUAUCCAGGGAUCGGUAGUUGGCCCAGUGCUUUUUACAUCAUAUUUGUUUGAUCUAGUUGGACUUAUAAAGAUGGACACAAGUCUGUUUGCAGAUGACUGCAAAAUAUAUGCUAAUCCUCUAACCAGCGCAGUGCUGCUCCAGGCAGACCUGCAGAAUGCUGAGAUGUGGUCAAGGCAAUGGGGUAUGAAAAUGUAUCCAAAUGCACAGUGUUGAGGAUCGGUCCAGAUAAUCCUGAUAAUGAAUAUUUUCUGGAUGGAUGUGCCUUAAAAUCAGUGAACGAACAAAAUGACCUAGGAGUCCUAAUAACAUCAGACCUAAAAUGGGAACGUCAUAUAACCAGAAUUUGUAAAAAAGCAAACUCGCUAGUCUAUCUGAUAAAACAAGCUUUUAGGGACCAUUCUAUUGAAAUGAUAUCCACUCUAUACAAAAGUUACAUAAGACCAAAAAAUUACGAAUUAAGCGAGGUGCCAUAUCCAGAAAGAUUAAUCAGGUUUGGUUUGACCACUCUCAGAGAGCGAAGACAUAGAGGCGAUCUCAUCGAAACCUACAAGAUUACCAGUGGUUAUUACCAGUGCAAUUUGGCGAACCUUUUCCACUAAUAUAGCCAAAACCAUCAUCUCCGAGGACAUACAAGGAAGCUUGAAAAAGAAAGAACAGCAAAACUUCCCAGAAAAAACUUUGUAACAAAUCGUGCAGUGCACUUGUAGAACUCGUUAAAUCAGGAAACGGUGACGGCCCCAAAUACGAAUAUCUUCAAGAAUCGCGUUGAUGUUGAGCUGGGACAAAAUUCGGAGAGAAUGAUCCACUACUGCAUGUGAGCAGGUCCACCUACUCAAGCCUGAAACAUACGGAAGAAACAAUAGCUUCAUCGGUCUCACCGCCUGAUAUUGUCAACAUAAUAAUAAUAAUCAUAAUAAUAAAAUAUAUAUAUAUAAACAUAUAUAACACCGCCCAACAGCAUGUAUGUUGCAUGGAAUAUUUUUAUGAUUCUAGGCUUAUUUUUAAUGCUGAUAUUAAAUAAUGUCAUCAGUUUAUAUGUGUCAGCUCUAGUUUUUGAGUUAAAAGGAGGGAGUAUUUUUUGGGAAUUAAAAAUACACUCAACGUACAAACAUUUUUAAUUACAAGAACUAUACACUCAGGAAUUUUCUUUUAUAUGAUUUUCUACUAGUUUUGAAUGAACUGCUACUCUGAAUACUCCAGCAAAAAUCGGCCAACAUAUGUGCAUCCCAGCGACCCUGAAAUCGUUCCUCCAUGGUUCGAAGAUCUUGGUGGAAUCGUUCACCCUGUUCUUCACUCAUGUCACCGAGAUUUUCAGGAAAAUGGUGUAAAUGGCUGUGUAGGAAGUGCACUUUGAUGCUCAUGUUACAUCCAAGUCGCUGGAAGUGUGACAACAUCUCUUCGACGUGCGCAAUGUAAUCAUCACCCUUCCUAUUACCUAAGAAAUUUUGGAUAACCCAAACAAAGGAAUCCCAUGCAUUCUUCUCAAUUUCUGACAUUGAGCUGGUGAAAUUAGGAUCGUUUACCAACUUGCGAAUUUGUGGACCAUCAAAUAUACCUGCCUUGAGUUUUUCUGAACUUAGACUUGGAAAUUUCCUUGAAAUAUAUUUGAAACAUUCACCAUCCCUGGAAGUAGUGCUUCCCUAGAGGGCCAUUCUUUUUUUGACCAAUGUUCUGAUUUUGCUCUACUAUCCCAUAAACACAUAAAACAAGGAUAUUUAGUGUAGCCUCCUUGUUGUCCUAAAAGGAAGUUCACCAUCUUAAGAUCAACGCAAAUCACCCAUUUAUGAUCGUUAUAUUUGAUUUUGUUCAUGACCAGUGCUAUUUUGGGGUAUUCUUCCUUAACUUUAGUUGAAUGUGCUAUUGGUAUGGAGCCUAGUUUAUUUCCGUUGUGCAAUAGUACACACUUCAAACUCCGUUUUGACGAGUCAAUAAAUAAACGCCAAUCGAUUGGUUCAUAUUUCUGCAAGCCCAUGGCAGUCAUUAAACCAGAAAUAUUAGUACAAAAUACAAAAUUAUCCUCCUCAGCGAAAAAGGGAAGUAAGUAUUUUUCUCGAGUGCGGUAAUAAGCAACUUUAGUUUCUUUAGUUAAAAGAUUUCUCUCUUUUAAUCUGGAGGCCAAUAAUUCAGACGAAGUUUUGGAUAGUCCAAGGUCUCUAAUUAAAUCAUCAAGUGCACUUUGAUCGAAUGGUUUUGGUUCAAAGAGAUUUUCUGGAACAAACUCGUCAUCGCUCAUGCUACUCAGUUCAUUCAAUUCAUCAGGACUUUCUGUAGAUGUAGAUGGUAAUGGUAAAGAUGUAUCUUUUGAGCUCCUUACAGGCCUCACAGCUGAUGUUGAUGUGGGGUAAAUCCAUUUGGAGCGGUUCGUCUUGUUGAUUCCUUUUAUAUUAACAACGCAAAAAUAGCAGUCAUCGUGAUGAUUUAAAGGUUCACGCCAAAUCAUUGGGGAUUGGAAUUUAAAAGAGAGUCUCUUCUUAGUGGCCCAUAAACGUAAUUCUUCAACACAAAUUUUGCACACAAUAUUGGGCACCCAGCACUUGUUAUCUGUUUCCAAAGGAAAACCAAAACACUCUAAAUACGCUCGUUUCCCAGAGUCUGACAUAUUCAAUCGAAAUUUUUGAAAAACAAAUUCACCACAAAUAUAACAAAAACAAUUCGGAUCGUUAAUGCAGACCCUUCUUAGCGAAGUCAUGAUGAAAAUUACAAUAAUUUAUCUAAAACUAUAAUAGAUAAAAAACCAAAAAUUAAGAUAAAUGAGAAGAACGUAGCUAUAUCUAAACAACUCGAGCUGUUAGAGUAAAACUGACGACAGAUUCGAAAUCAGAUGCCUCGAAUUAGUAAACAACAAUAAAAAUAUUUCAGUCAACAUAAAAUAACCUUCGAUUUGUUGUGCAGUGUAAUGGUUAUUAGGUUAUAAUCAUUGCAGCAAUUUUGCGUUUGAAUGUAGCUAAACAGGUCAAUAUUAUUAUUGCUGUGUAAAAUAUUAAAUCAAUAUCAAGCUCGAUAUAAUGGUGCAUUUUAUUGAUGUGUUUGUUGAAUGUCAGUUUGUGAAACCCCUAGAUCCCUCACAGAGUCGACAUUUUCUAAGGGAGUAUUACCUAACCUGUAACUGUGCUUAAUUUCGUUGCGAAUAUUUGAGAUUGACUUGCACUUUCUAAUAUUCGGAGAACCAAAGAAGAAUCAAUAGAUACACCUUCCUCCGAGGAGGAAGAGGAUGAAGAACCGGAUUUAAAGAUGCCCGUUUUAGAACCGGAAGUGUAUACUACCGAUACCAAUGAGGAAGUGAAAGAGAAACCGGAUGUCGUAAAGGAAAC